CUGAUAUUCUUUUAAUUUGUUUGCUUGUUAGUCAUGAUUUUUCAAUUUGAUGCAAUAAAUAUUUUGUCUCGGAAAUUGUACGAUUUUUUAAAAUUUUAUUCAUAUUUUUUAUUUUUCUUCAAGGUAUCUUUCACUUUGAAAUAUACUAUAGGUUAUACCUUAUAUCAGUGUUUCCCAAAGUGUGCUUACACGUACCCCCACGGGUAUGGGAAGAGUUUGGUGAGGGUACGCGCUGCACCGGGCUUUGACUGCACCUGUGCAUCAAGUAGUUUCCUUUUUUCGAUUACAAACAUAGAAAAUAAUUAAAAACUUCGUUACUUGUUAGUAUUGUGUAUGCGUGGUUUUCUAUAUAUGCGUAGCCUGGUGUCGCCGGGCGCUGUGAUUCUGUGCAUUCCUCCACCUUAAGGCCCAGACAACAGUGUCACACAAAAAGCUCCAGUACAGUGCGCGCAUAUGUAUUUUUAAA
RNAcentral lists this long non-coding RNA (466 nucleotides) under Androctonus crassicauda. Lineage: Eukaryota; Metazoa; Arthropoda; Arachnida; Scorpiones; Buthidae. The record is from RNAcentral.